CCCCUCUCAGGAUGGCACCUGGAGAGUUUCCAGUACACUACUAGGCUCAGCUACAGGAGGGAGCGUCAAGCAGAGGCCUACCCAUUCCAUUCCUAGCUUGGACAGUGGCUAGAGAGUGGAAGGUAAUCUGCUACAAGU
This 138-nucleotide small nucleolar RNA is filed under the name Ornithorhynchus anatinus (platypus). The record is from RNAcentral. Lineage: Eukaryota; Metazoa; Chordata; Mammalia; Monotremata; Ornithorhynchidae.